Molecule: ribosomal RNA, 786 nt
Filed under: marine metagenome
Description: bacterial SSU rRNA
Rfam family: Bacterial small subunit ribosomal RNA
Source: RNAcentral
GACACGGUCCAGACUCCUACGGGAGGCAGCAGUAGGGAAUAUUCCGCAAUGGGCGAAAGCCUGACGGAGCAAUACCUCGUGAGUGAUGAAGGCUUUAGGGUCGUAAAGCUCAGUCAGCAGGGAAGAAGGGUUAUGGUUCGAAUAGGGCUAUAGCUUUGACGGUACCUGCAGAGGAAGCCACGGCUAAUUACGUGCCAGCAGCCGCGGUAAUACGUAAGUGGCAAGCGUUGUCCGGAUUUACUGGGCGUAAAGAACGCGUAGGCGGUUUUCUAAGUUGGGGGUGAAAUCCUGAGGCCCAACCUCAGGCCUGCCUCCAAAACUGGAGAACUAGAGUUUCGGAGAGGAAGAUGGUAUUCCAUGUGUAGCGGUGAAAUGCGUAGAUAUAUGGGAGAACACCAAUGGCGAAAGCAGUCUUCUGGACGAAUACUGACGCUGAGGCGUGAAAGCGUGGGUAGCGAACAGGAUUAGAUACCCUGGUAGUCCACGCCGUAAACGAUGGGUACUAGUUGCUGGGGAUAAUAGUCUUCGGUGACGAAGUUAACGCAUUAAGUACCCCGCCUGGGGAGUACGGUCGCAAGAUUAAAACUCAAAGGAAUUGACGGGGGCCCGCACAAGCGGUGGAGUAUGUGGUUUAAUUCGAUGCAACGCGGAGAACCUUACCUGGGCUUGACAUCCAACGCUAUCCAUAGAGAUAUGGAGUUUGAUAGUAAUAUCGACGUUGAGACAGGUGGUGCAUGGUUGUCGUCAGCUCGUGUCGUGAGAUGUUCGGUUAAGUCCGGCAACGAG